GUCCCUAUAGUUCAAUGGAUAGAAUACCUCCGUCCUAAGGAGUAGAUCUACGUUCGAAUCGUAGUGGGGAUACCA
RNAcentral lists this transfer RNA (75 nucleotides) under Candidatus Saccharimonadota bacterium. RNAcentral describes it as "Candidatus Saccharibacteria bacterium tRNA-Arg". It matches the Rfam family "tRNA". From Rfam's summary of the family: Transfer RNA (tRNA) molecules are approximately 80 nucleotides in length. Their secondary structure includes four short double-helical elements and three loops (D, anti-codon, and T loops). The record is from RNAcentral. Lineage: Bacteria; Candidatus Saccharimonadota.